UACGGAGGGUGCAAGCGUUAUCCGGAUUUACUGGGUUUAAAGGGUGCGCAGGCGGAUAUGUAAGUCAGUGGUGAAAUCUCCGGGCUUAACCCGGAAAUUGCCGUUGAUACUAUAUAUCUUGAAUGCUGUGGAGGUAAGCAGAAUAUGUCAUGUAGCGGUGAAAUGCUUAGAGAUGACAUAGAAUACCUAUUGCGAAGGCAGCUUACUACACAGAUAUUGACGCUCAUGCACGAAAGCGUGGGGAUCAAACAGG
RNAcentral lists this ribosomal RNA (253 nucleotides) under uncultured bacterium. Its description in RNAcentral is "partial 16S ribosomal RNA". It matches the Rfam family "Bacterial small subunit ribosomal RNA", at positions 524 to 776 of the family's 1533-position model. The record is from RNAcentral.